Long non-coding RNA from Hemicordylus capensis (graceful crag lizard), 6348 nucleotides. RefSeq lists it as uncharacterized. Lineage: Eukaryota; Metazoa; Chordata; Lepidosauria; Squamata; Cordylidae. The record is from RefSeq and is a predicted model, not a curated record. The transcript is spliced from 4 exons.
CACAGGACCUACGGCGGCCCAGUCCAAUGACGUAAAAUAGAAUGCGCCGAGGGCCUACAACUUGACUAACUGGUUUACUUUUUUUUUUUUUUUUUUUAGUGUUGCUGCCCCUGUUCGCCAAAAGCGUGGGCGAGCGCGUGAAGCUCGUUUCCCUAGUAAAUUAUAUCAACCAACUCGUACCGCCUCUUCUUUAUCCCCCGUAAAACACACCGAGGCCAGGACCUAGCGGCGUUGCUAGCACCAGACUUUUUAAAAACCCAGACAUGAACUCCAUUGCCUCCAUGGGCCUUUUCCUAGUUCAAAGGGCAGAAUCUCCCUUUUUAAAAUAUUUGCCCGACGGAAGUGAGGGCUGUCCACAGCAAUUAAUGGAAAUAUCCAAGACAUCACUGGGAUUUGGCAAGGAUUGUAUCCCCUCCUACUCUCACUCCCUCACCACGACGAACAAAAAAGCAGUUUCAUGAAGAUGUUAAACAACAUUGGAGACAAUACGGAGCCCUGAGGGACACCAUACCGAAGUUCAGUUUUUGAAGAAAAACAGUCCCCGAGAGACACCAUCUGGAAUCUGCCCGAGAGUCUUUCAGACAUCUCAUUUGAGAUAGCCCUCCAAUGGGAGACGUAGGUAGUCUUGCAGAGAAGAGGGCAGUUUCAAUUGGGCAAUGCCCUGGUGACAUCGUACCCCCAACUGCUUCCGAACAGCACAGCGGGCCAGAUGUUGCAGUGGGCGGGGCUGGUUCACCAGCCAAAGGGCUGAAUCGUAGAACGUCUGGUGCUUCUAUCAAGAUGGAGGGAAAACAAAACAAAACAGGAACACACAGUGAGCUCUUCAAUUGCAAAAAUGGGGAGUGAGGAGAUAACUGCCUUGGAGAAACUACCUGCCACACUUCAGGAGGCACAGAUCCUACCCAGGAAUCACAGGACAGGAUCCGAUCAUAGGAGUUCAGAAUAACUUCCAAAGUUUGAGGAGACAAGGCGCAAAACUUCAACAUCUAAGAGCAAAGGCAUCAAGGAGAGGGGGAGAGAGAGAGAGAGAAACAGAUGUGUGAGUACCUUAAAGAGAAAAUUAUAAACGCUCAUGGGGGGUGGGGGGUGGAAUGCUGUUUAUACCUCUAAAAGCCUGCAAAUAUAGGCUUGAAAGUGUGAACUCCCAAGAGAUAGGUGUCCAAAAGACCAGGGUUUCCAUGCAGAGUGUUACCUUAGCCUAGAACUUUUGACAUAUGCCCAGGCACACAUGUAUGUGCAUGCUACAUUUUUCUUACAACUGGUACCUGAACAUUUUUGUACUACAGCUCAUCCAGCAUCCUACCAGGUUAGUGAUCUACUAGCAGGCUUUGGAUGCUAAGGUUAGUACCAUGUUAAUGACCAGUCAUUCAUUCUCCGCUACUGAAGCAUUUUUGCUUAUUUCAUUUAAAAAUACUGAACACAUCCACCAAUUCACCUUUCUGAAAGAUUCCCAACAUGGCACACACGAAACUACUUUCCCACGAACAAGGGGAAGUAGUUUCCCUUCUCUGUGAGAAACCUCUUCCUACUGAGGAAUGUGCACAAAAACGUUCUCCAACCCAAAGGACAGCCCAGUUUCAGGAGAUCAUAACCUGUACAGGCAGAACACCGCUGAAGAGAAGCGAAGGCUCAGCCCUUACCUUAGGAUUGACAGGAGCCGCUCCAUAGCUGAGGAGAGUGGCUAUAACCUGCUCGGGCUCUCCCUCCAGGUAAUCUUCCACUGCUUGCAAGGCACAAUCCAUCGGUGUGUAGCCAGCACAGUUACUAACGUUGGCAUCCGCCCCAUGCUGCAGCAGUAGUUCCACAAUGCGGAUAUGGCAGUUACUGCAGGCGUUGUGAAGGGGUGUGUGGUUCUUCCUGCCAGCCACCUGGACAUCAGCCCCACCGUCCAAGAGUCGCUUCACUACCCGGUAGUAGCGGCCGGCCUCCUCAGGGCUGUCGGCGCUGGCGCAGGCUGCGUUGAGAGCCGUCUCUCCCUCUCGGUUUCUGUGGGCAAUGUUAGCUCCGUAGCAGAGGUAGAGCUUCACGUGGUCAUCUAGGCCGUACUUUGCAGCCACCUGAAGUGGAGAAGCACGGCGAUCUUGCGUGUACUGGUUGACCAGAGCGCCAUACUCCAAUAGAAGCUGGGCACACCUGGAGGGCACAAUGAGUAGUGCUGUUGAAAUAAACACUUACCGCAUUUAAACAACUGGAGCCUGAUCUUAGUUUUUUUUAUUUUAUUAACAAACAAACUUCUAGUCGUCAUGGUUGCUGAAAUAUAUGCCGCCAGCGCUGGCAAAAAGCUUUACCGUUAUUUAGGCAGCACAUCAAGUCAAGUUUAUUAUUAAGGUCCAUGACCAGAAAACAAACAAACAAACAAGGAAUAAAAACAAUACAAUAAAAAUAUACAACAUCAAAAUAAUAAAUUACAUAAAACUGAGUUACAAGGAUGGCAAGGUCAUACACAGCUAAGUUUAUCUCGUCUCAUUUUACAUGCUGCAGCACAGAAUCUUGCAGUCCUCACAUCCAUGGUCUGCAUAACUACACAUCAUUUCUCCUCAAUACCUCCUACAGACAACCUUUUUCUAAUACCUCCUCUCCUCCACACCAAGCUAGUAUGGUGUAAUCUGGGGUCAGAAGACUCUGGAGAAGAGUGCUGCUGCUGACUGUCCCCAAAGACCAGCACAAAGUGAAAGAAUGACCCGUUCCCCACUCCUGAGUCUUGAAAAUAUAGAGAAGGGGUGAGGUUGUUUACUCACCUUGUGCGAUGGCUUGAAGACACCCAGAAGUGGCAAGACUCGCUACUCCAUGCCUGGAAGUAAGUAAGAAGCUGAUCCCUUCUUACCCAAUCCUCUAUGAAUGCCAGAACUCUGCAGAGGGUUCAUAUCUCCAACUCAGCAUAAAAAUGAGACACACCUUUCUCUUUCAGCAUCCUUCACAAUAAGCAGUGUGCACACAUUCUUUUGCCAGUCCAGCUUUUACAUUUUUUUUUAAUCAGGACCCCAGGUAUGCUAUAAUUGUGCACAAUUCAACUGGAAAAAUCUCAACCUCCAUUUACACUUUUUAAAGCAAGUUUCUAGUCCAUAUGACUGCAAAGGUGGACUUGAAAUUAUGUUGGCAGUGUACCUGCUACAGUCUAAAAAGUCAGGAGAGGUGACCGAAUGAGAUUUGCAGAGCUGUAGGUAGGGCUUUAUUACACUAUGUAUUCCAUGCCCUUCCAUGAUUAACAGAACUAGAACAAACUAUGCAAGAAAGUAUAGAUUGCAGAUAAAAUUAAAUCAAGAGUAUUUAUCUUAUUUUGCAUAGUUUGUAUAAUUUAUAUAAAUAGAAUUUCUAGUACAUCUGAAAAAAGUUAGUCCUGCAUAUAUUUUUUUGUAUGUUUUCAAAAUAAUUUGUAUUUGAUUUAGCACGGGAGAAGGAAAUGCUAUUGUAGUUUAAUAGAUUUUUAGCCUACCUUUUAGGUACACUAUCUCACAAGGCAGCAGAGUUUAAUUAGGGAGCCCCUGGAUCUACUUAUCAUUAGUCUUUAUUGCCAUUUCUCACAAUAGGGUGCUUUCAUCAUAUGGCUUGAAUCCUUCUUCAAGCCACAACAGACUCACUCCCUCCCCCUCCCCUCCAACUUUCCAGACAUACGGCAAAGUCUCCUGGGUGGUGCACAGGUGCAGUGGGGCCAAUCCUUCCUCUGAGAGCAUGUUCGGGUUUGCACCAAAGCUGAGGAGUAGACGAGUACACUCUGCACGGUGAUGGGCACAGCUGUCAUGAAGGGCAGCUUUUCCACCAACUAUAGCAUCGACUUCAGCCCCUUGCAGGAGUAGAUGCUUCACACAGUCCCGGUAGCCCCUGGCAGCUAAGAUGCGCAGUGGAGAGGUGUGCUUCUUUUGUGGGCUCAGCACCCACAGGCCUGUAGAACCUACAAGGAAGGAGAGAUGAGACUCAUCAAUGCAGAGAUGGCACAUUGUAGUCGUCCAUAAUUCUGGAAUGCUGUGUCAGCCAAUUAAGCUGAUUUGCAAUAGGUUCAGAACAAACCAAAUUCUUCCUACAAAGUGUAAUUAAAUCUGGGGAAAUCAUGCCAUAAGGUUUAGUGACGGGCCCUAUGUUAGAAAGCUUAUCAGAAAGGUGGUGGCUUAAACAGGACUACCAAUCAACAUGAUGCUUUACAGAGUAAUAUAGGCAAAAAGAUAGGUCUCUGCUUAAAGCUUAUCAUCCCAAAUUAACUAGUGUGGGAAAAUAAAUCCACAGAAGAGCUAUGGGUCAUGAUAAUUAAAUGGAACCUCCAUGUUCAGAGGCAGUAUUUACUUCCCCAUAAUACUCAGAUCACACAGGAGGUUCACAGCAGCUUACAAAUUCAGAAAGAACUAACCUAUCUACCAGCAAUUAAAAGCCCAAUUAACACACGCUAAAAGUAGUACAUUUCCUAGAUGCAUGCAUGUCAUAUGUGAGCUUUGUUAGCAUCCCUCCAAUUAUCCGAUGGUGGAAACAAAGAGCAAAUGAUCACCCUGUCCAUUAUUCCCAGCUUGCAAGCUUCCAGAAACUUUAGCCAGCCAGAUGCUAGAGCCAGAAAUGUGGCCCCUUGGUUGGACUGAGCAUAGACUGCUUUGAUAAGAAAGUGCUUUUUCACAAGCUGCUCAUAACCGGAAGUCUACCACUAUGUUCCAGACUUUGGCUUGACUAAAGGGGGCUGGGAGAGAAGAAAAGAGCGUGCACAACUUCUGGUGAUGCUGGAAUUAGGUGUCAGAAGAGCUGGGAAAAUAUUGGCUGACAUCUAGCACAGCACUGUGUCUAUAAAGUUGUGCUGUACUCCCUUCAGUGGCGGUGUCCGGGCGGCGCAAAAUGGGUGGCCGCCCGUGCAAGCUCCAGAUGGAGAAACCUGUGGACAGCCUGCUUGCGCAGUUGCCCAUUUUGUGCAGUGCAGAUGCUGCCUUUGAGGGGCACAGCAGUUCCAUAGCACAGGUUUACAGAACAUAACACUCUGCUGGAUGUCAGCUAAUAUUCUAAGAACAAACAAUACCUCAGUCAUACGGUCCCCUGUCCCCCAAGGGGGCUCACCAUCUAAACAGAAACACAAAGUGGGCCACAGCCACUGGAGGGGUGCUGUGCUGGGGAUGGAGAGGGCCAGUUGCUCCCCCACUGCUCAGGAGAAGGAGAGGGUCACCACUUUGAAAGGGGUCUCUUGGCUCAGUUAGCCGAGGUAACAACUGUUUAUAUACUGCUUCUCACCAAGCAUUUCCAAAGUGGUCUACACAGGAGGUUGAAACACUUGAAAGCCCUUUCACAGGCGUCUCCCAUUUGGAUGGGAGCAUUGAGAGGUGAGCAGGGAGGAGAGCUGGUCUGGUGGGAGCAAGCACGACUGGUCCCCUUAGCUAAGCAGGGUGUGCCCUGGUUGCAUGUAAAUGGGAGACUACAUGUGUGAGCACUGGAAGAUAUUCCCUUUAGGGGAUGGAGCCACUCUGGGAGGAGCAUCUAGGUUCCAAGUUCCUUCCCUGGCAGCAUCUCCAAGAUAGGGGGAGAGAGAUUCCUGCCUGCAACCUUGGAGACACCACUGCCAGUCUGUGAAGACAAUACUGAGCUACGGUAGAUGAACCAAGGGUCUCACUCAGUAUAUGACAGCUUCCUACAUUCCUAUGUUCCACACCUAGCAUAGGGGAGUAUUGUAACUGGGCAAAUGUGUUAUAAGAACUUGGGUCUAGAGAGAUGAAGGCCUGGGGCGAGGUGGCUGGAGGGAAGGGCAGCCAAGGCAGGGCCAGAUUAAAGUCUUUGUAGACCCAAGGCACUCUCAUAAUUGCAGACCCACCCACCCCCCAAGAUAGAUCUGUAGAUAUAUAUUUAUGUAUAAUGCUAUAGGUUUGCUUUGUGUACAAUGUAUAGGUCCCCUAAUAUGUCUAGUGUGUCAGAAUGGGCAUCUGCAGGACUGGAUUAUUCAUUAGGAUAAUUUCCUCACAAAAAGGUGUAUUGGAGGUGGGAUAGGGAGGGGAGAGGAGAGUUUGGUGACAUGUUUUCCAAGUGUUAAGAUUGCUUUUAGAAUGUAUUUUGCCACUUUUGGAACAAACUGUGAAGGGGAGCAUGCUUAUUCAAAGCUGAAGUUUACAGAGAACUUUCUUAGGUCAACCAUGGGACAGAAAUGACUAUCUUGUCUUCACUUGCACUACCCUCAAUUGAGAAUGAACUUUUGCAAAAUUUUAAACUGGAAGAUGUAGUCCAUGAUUUUGCUAACAAAAAGAGCCACAAAGUUAACAUUUAAUGUGUAUUUACUUAAGUCAUUUAAUGAUUUACUAUCAUUAAACUACAUUCAGUUAUGCAACACUUUACAUUGUACUAUUUUGUUAUGCUGUUAAAAUAACUCAAUUAAAGCAAAUUAUUCAGUUUGAUGUA